RNAcentral lists this ribosomal RNA (315 nucleotides) under Triticum aestivum (bread wheat). RNAcentral's name for it is "partial small subunit ribosomal RNA". Lineage: Eukaryota; Viridiplantae; Streptophyta; Magnoliopsida; Poales; Poaceae. The record is from RNAcentral.
GCCCGAACGGCUAUUGUGCCGACAAUGACUUCUCAGGUCAUUAAAAAUAGCCUCCACAUUGAUUCGGAAUUUUCCGUACAGAUGGAUCCAAUGGAGCUCUUCUCCCUCAAUGAGAUCUUGGAUCGCAUCGGCGCCCUGGGCGUCGCUACGGACUAUGAUCGGAUCGGGCUUAAACCUGAUCAAAGGGAGAUUCACUCUCCACCGGUCACCCAUGAGAUAGCGGUAGUGGAAGAGCAUGAUCCUAAUUCUCCCUCCACUUUGAGGACAAACUAUGUCCGGAUUUCCGAGCUCUCCGAGCUGGACACCCGCUCGCGG